RNAcentral lists this ribosomal RNA (297 nucleotides) under Triticum aestivum (bread wheat). RNAcentral's name for it is "partial small subunit ribosomal RNA". The record is from RNAcentral. Lineage: Eukaryota; Viridiplantae; Streptophyta; Magnoliopsida; Poales; Poaceae.
AUGACCAUAAAUAAAAGCCAAUGUCAAUCCCUAAAGAAGGUGGGCUUAUAUUUGCCUAAGCAUGUCAUCUUCCAUGGGCAACUAUAUGUGGCAUUAUCAAGAGUCACAUACACAGAAGGAUUAAAGGUGUUGAUUGACGACAUAGAGUGCCCAAGCGAAGAUAGCGCAAAGAAUAUAUAUAGUAUACAAAGAGAUCUUCUAAUUUUAGAAGAUCUCUUUGUAAAUCAUGACCUUAGUAAGAACAUGACAAUGCAUAUUAUUAUUGCCAUACAGUGCUUUCAUGCAUACAAAUGUUAA